RNAcentral lists this ribosomal RNA (292 nucleotides) under uncultured eukaryote. RNAcentral's name for it is "partial 18S ribosomal RNA". It matches the Rfam family "Eukaryotic small subunit ribosomal RNA", at positions 6 to 265 of the family's 1831-position model. The record is from RNAcentral.
GGUUGAUCCUGCCAGCAAUCAUAUGCUUGUCUCAAAGACUAAGCCAUGCAUGUCUAAGUAUAAGUAAUUGUACGACGAAACUGCGAAUGGCUCAUUAUAUCAGUUACAAUCUACUUGAUGUUUACCUUAUAUGGAUAACUGUAGGAAUUCUAGAGCUAAUACAUGCAAAAAAUUCGGACCAGGCAACUGGGAAGAAAGUGUUUACUAGUUAAGGGACCAAUUGGGUAUUAAACUUCAUCUGGGGAAACUCAGGUGGGGGCCCAAAAAAUUCGAUGAUUCAUAGUAAGUUUUA